CCUACGGGCGGCAGCAGUAGGGAAUAUUGCUCAAUGGAGGAAACUCUGAAGCAGCCACGUCGCGUGAAGGAUGACGGCCCUAUGGUUGUUAACCUUCUUUUAUAUAGAAGUUAAAUGUUCCACGUAUGGAAUAUUGUCUGUACCAUAUUGAUACAGAUCGGCUAACUCCGUGCCAGCAGCCGCGGUAAUACGGAGGAUCCGAGCGUUAUCCGGAUUUAGUGGGUGUAAAGGGAGCGUAGGUGGAUUGUUAAGUCAGUUGUGAAAGUUUGUGGCUCAACCGUAAAAUUGCAGUUGAAACUGGAAGUCUGGAGUACAGGAGAGGUGGGUGGAAUUCGUGGUGUAGCGGUGAAAUGCUUAGAGAUCACGAAGAAUUCUGAUUGCGAAGGCAGCUCACUGGA
This 398-nucleotide ribosomal RNA is filed under the name uncultured bacterium. RNAcentral describes it as "partial 16S ribosomal RNA". It matches the Rfam family "Bacterial small subunit ribosomal RNA", at positions 338 to 733 of the family's 1533-position model. The record is from RNAcentral.